GGGACUGUGGCUUAGUGGUGGAGUGCUUGCUUAGCAUGCAGGAAGCCCUGGGUUUGAUUCCUCAGUACCA
Molecule: transfer RNA, 70 nt
Filed under: Dipodomys ordii (Ord's kangaroo rat)
Lineage: Eukaryota; Metazoa; Chordata; Mammalia; Rodentia; Heteromyidae
Rfam family: tRNA
About the family: Transfer RNA (tRNA) molecules are approximately 80 nucleotides in length. Their secondary structure includes four short double-helical elements and three loops (D, anti-codon, and T loops).
Source: Rfam by way of RNAcentral